This 437-nucleotide long non-coding RNA is filed under the name Mus spicilegus (steppe mouse). RNAcentral's name for it is "lncRNA (ENSMSIG00000030858.1)". Lineage: Eukaryota; Metazoa; Chordata; Mammalia; Rodentia; Muridae. The record is from RNAcentral.
CUUGCCUGUAGGCAACGAUGGCAUUCUGGAUUAGAGAUGCUUCAAGAACGUGUGUGAAGAAUGGUUAGGGGAUGCAUAAGGUGGAGGGAGGGAAAGCAACGUGCCGAAGAGCUGUCGCUUUCAUGGUUGGCGAUGAAUAACAGAAUCCAGAGCAAGACAAAUUAUGGAUGACCCGUCUUUAUCUGAGCCGAGCUGGAAUGGAGAUAAAUGCCUUGGAGGGCGGGGCGAAGAGAAACAGGACUGUGUUAGAAAAACAGUUUGAUGGAGAAAGAAGAUCUGAAUCUUGUUCUGUUAACGUGCUUCUGAGCUUCUGAAAGACAGAAGAACAUUUUUCUUCCCCAGCCAAUGACAGUUGCAUAGCUGUUGAAGUAGGUAUAGAGUAGAGACCCAGAGCCUUAUGUAACUUAUACAAGCAAACACAUUAGUCAGCUUAGUUU